RNAcentral lists this ribosomal RNA (789 nucleotides) under uncultured bacterium. RNAcentral's name for it is "bacterial SSU rRNA". It matches the Rfam family "Bacterial small subunit ribosomal RNA", at positions 8 to 798 of the family's 1533-position model. The record is from RNAcentral.
AGAGUUUGAUCAUGGCUCAGGACGAACGCUGGCGGCGUGCUUAACACAUGCAAGUCGAACGGAAAGGCCCCUUCGGGGGUACUCGAGUGGCGAACGGGUGAGUAACACGUGGGUGAUCUGCCCUGCACUUUGGGAUAAGCCUGGGAAACUGGGUCUAAUACCGAAUAGGACCGCAUGCUUCAUGGUGUGUGGUGGAAAGCUUUUGCGGUGUGGGAUGGGCCCGCGGCCUAUCAGCUUGUUGGUGGGGUAAUGGCCUACCAAGGCGACGACGGGUAGCCGGCCUGAGAGGGUGUCCGGCCACACUGGGACUGAGAUACGGCCCAGACUCCUACGGGAGGCAGCAGUGGGGAAUAUUGCACAAUGGGCGCAAGCCUGAUGCAGCGACGCCGCGUGGGGGAUGACGGCCUUCGGGUUGUAAACCUCUUUCAGUAUCGGCGAAGCUCCAGGAUUUUUCUUGGGGUGACGGUAGGUACAGAAGAAGCACCGGCCAACUACGUGCCAGCAGCCGCGGUAAUACGUAGGGUGCGAGCGUUGUCCGGAAUUACUGGGCGUAAAGAGCUCGUAGGUGGUUUGUCACGUUGUCUGUGAAAACUCACAGCUUAACUGUGGGCGUGCGGGCGAUACGGGCAGACUGAAGUACUGUAGGGGAGACUGGAAUUCCUGGUGUAGCGGUGGAAUGCGCAGAUAUCAGGAGGAACACCGGUGGCGAAGGCGGGUCUCCGGGCAGUAACUGACGCUGAGGAGCGAAAGCGUGGGGAGCGAAAAGGAUUAGAUACCCUGGUAGUCCAA